This 775-nucleotide ribosomal RNA is filed under the name uncultured Neocallimastigales. RNAcentral describes it as "partial large subunit ribosomal RNA". It matches the Rfam family "Eukaryotic large subunit ribosomal RNA", at positions 18 to 616 of the family's 3401-position model. The record is from RNAcentral. Lineage: Eukaryota; Fungi; Neocallimastigomycota; Neocallimastigomycetes; Neocallimastigales.
UCAGACGAUGCGUCAUGCAUAUCAAUAAGCGGAGGAAAAGAAACUAACAAGGAUUCCCCUAGUAACGGCGAGUGAAGCGGGGAAGAGCUCAAAUUUGAAAUCUUAAAGGGUUUCCCUUUACGAAUUGUAGUUUAAAGAAGUGUUUUCUGUUGAGGUUUUGGUAAAAGUUCUUUGGAAUAGGACAUCAUAGAGGGUGAGAAUCCCGUAUUUGACCUUUACUUUCAACUUUGUGAUACACUUUCAAAGAGUCGGAUUGUUUGGGAAUGCAGUCCAAAAUGGGUGGUAAAUUUCAUCUAAAGCUAAAUAUUGGCGAGAGACCGAUAGCGAACAAGUACCGUGAGGGAAAGAUGAAAAGAACUUUGAAAAGAGAGUUAAACAGUACGUGAAAUUGUCAAAAGGGAAGCGUUUGACACCAGUGUUGUUUUUCUGAAAAUCAAUUAAAGAACUGUUUAUGCUAAGUUGUUUAGACUUUAUCAGCUAACUGUUUAGUUUUGAGCUUUUCUUUAAUGCACUUUUCAGUUAACAAGUCGACAUCAAUUUCUUUUGCUGUAAAAAAGCUUGAGGAAGGUGGCUUGAGAUUCGUCUUAAGUGUUUAUAGCCUCUUGCCUAUGCAGUCGGAGAGAUUGAGGUCUGCAGCGUAGAUCCUUCGGGGCUAAAUGCAUUUGUGCUAAGUUAUAGCAUUUUAUAGACAACUUGUUGACUAUGAUUUGUCUUGUAGCUUACUCGCUUAUGUUAUUUUACCUACGCUUAGGAUGUUGAGCGCAUGUCUCUCUCU